GAUGAAUGCUGGCGGCGUGCCUAAUACAUGCAAGUCGUGCGGCAGCGCGAGUAGUUUACUACUUGGCGGCGAGCGGCGGACGGCUGAGUAACGCGUGGGAACGUGCCCCAAAGUGAGGGAUAAGCCCGAGAAAUCGGGUCUAAUACCGCAUAUGGUCUUCGGAUUAAAGCUUCGGCGCUUUGGGAGCGGCCCGCGUACGAUUAGAUUGUUGGUGAGGUAAUGGCUCACCAAGUCGACGAUCGUUAGCUGGUCUGAGAGGAUGAUCAGCCAGACUGGAACUGAGACACGGUCCAGACUCCUACGGGAGGCAGCAGUAAGGAAUCUUCCACAAUGGGGGCAACCCUGAUGGAGCAACGCCGCGUGCAGGAUGAAGGCCCUCGGGUCGUAAACUGCUUUUAUGAGUGAAGAAUAUGACGGUAACUCAUGAAUAAGCACCGGCUAACUACGUGCCAGCAGCCGCGGUCAUACGUAGGGUGCAAGCAUUAUCCGGAGUGACUGGGCGUAAAGAGUUGCGUAGGCGGUUAGUAAAGCGAAUAGUGAAACCUGGUGGCUCAACCAUACAGACUAUUAUUCGAACUCACUAACUCGAGAGUGGUAGAGGUAACUGGAAUUUCUUGUGUAGGAGUGAAAUCCGUAGAUAUAAGAAGGAACACCAAUGGCGUAGGCAGGUUACUGGACCAUUUCUGACGCUAAGGCACGAAAGCGUGGGGAGCGAACGGGAUUAGAUACCCCGGUAGUCCACGCCGUAAACGAUGGAUACUAGCUGUUGGAGGUAUCGACCCCUUCAGUAGCGAAGCUAACGCGUUAAGUAUCCCGCCUGUGGAGUACGGCCGCAAGGCUAAAACAUAAAGGAAUUGACGGGGAUCAGC
RNAcentral lists this ribosomal RNA (869 nucleotides) under uncultured bacterium. RNAcentral's name for it is "bacterial SSU rRNA". It matches the Rfam family "Bacterial small subunit ribosomal RNA", at positions 28 to 924 of the family's 1533-position model. The record is from RNAcentral.